GAUGAAGAACGUAGCGAAAUGCGAUAAGUAAUGUGGAUUGCAGAAUUCAGUGAAUCAUCGAAUCUUUGAACGCACAUUGCGCCCGCCAGUAUUCUGGCGGGCAUGCCUGUUCGAGCGUCAUUUCAACCAUCAAGCCCCCGGCUUGUGUUGGGGACCUGCGGCUGCCGCAGGCCCUGAAAAGCAGUGGCGGGCUCGCUGUCACACCGAGCGUAGUAGCAUACAUCUCGCUCUGGGCGUGCUGCGGGUUCCGGCCGUUAAACCACCUUCAUAACCCAAGGUUGACCUCGGAUCAGGUAGGAAGACCCGCUGAACUUAAGCAUAUCAAUAAGCGGAGGA
RNAcentral lists this unclassified non-coding RNA (336 nucleotides) under soil metagenome. Its description in RNAcentral is "partial contains 5.8S ribosomal RNA, internal transcribed spacer 2, and large subunit ribosomal RNA". The stretch from base 1 to 120 matches the Rfam family "5.8S ribosomal RNA", at positions 35 to 154 of the family's 154-position model. The record is from RNAcentral.